This 586-nucleotide ribosomal RNA is filed under the name uncultured bacterium. Its description in RNAcentral is "bacterial SSU rRNA". It matches the Rfam family "Bacterial small subunit ribosomal RNA", at positions 338 to 916 of the family's 1533-position model. The record is from RNAcentral.
CCUACGGGAGGCAGCAGUAGGGAAUCUUCCGCAAUGGACGAAAGUCUGACGGAGCAAUGCCGCGUGAACGAUGAAGGCCUUCGGGUCGUAAAGUUCUGUUGUUAGGGAAGAACAAGUGCUAGUUAAAUAAGCUGGCACCUUGACGGUACCUAACCAGAAAGCCACGGCUAACUACGUGCCAGCAGCCGCGGUAAUACGUAGGUGGCAAGCGUUGUCCGGAAUUAUUGGGCGUAAAGCGCGCGCAGGCGGUUUCUUAAGUCUGAUGUGAAAGCCCCCGGCUCAACCGGGGAGGGUCAUUGGAAACUGGGAAACUUGAGUGCAGAAGAGGAAAGUGGAAUUCCAAGUGUAGCGGUGAAAUGCGUAGAGAUUUGGAGGAACACCAGUGGCGAAGGCGACUUUCUGGUCUGUAACUGACGCUGAGGCGCGAAAGCGUGGGGAGCAAACAGGAUUAGAUACCCUGGUAGUCCACGCUGUAAACGAUGAGUGCUAAGUGUUAGAGGGUUUCCGCCCUUUAGUGCUGAAGUUAACGCAUUAAGCACUCCGCCUGGGGAUACGGUCGCAAGACUGAACUCAAAGGAAUUGACGG